AAAGUGAAGUCGCUCAGUCGUGUCCGACUCUUCGCAACCCCAUGGACUGCAGCGUACCAGGCUCCUACGUCCAUGGGAUUUUGCAGGCAAGAGUACUGGAGUGGGGUGCCAUUGCCUUCAAACACCUAGCCCAAUACAUUUCUUCAGCCCAGAUUAACACGAAUGUCUGCCAAAACUGGAUCCUCAGGGUGAUUGGUAUGUGGGAUGAACGACUGAAAAAGAAGGAACACCUGGUUUGAGGCAACACAUGGAAAGUCCUGCCCUGGCUUUCAGAGGUUUCAGGGGAGGUGACUGACUGUGGCCAGCCCUGUAUCUGCAACCAACUAACUUUCAUGAGAAAUGCAGUCCUAACCCA
Molecule: long non-coding RNA, 355 nt
Organism: Bubalus bubalis (water buffalo)
Lineage: Eukaryota; Metazoa; Chordata; Mammalia; Artiodactyla; Bovidae
Exons: 3
Source: RefSeq, a predicted model, not a curated record